This 460-nucleotide ribosomal RNA is filed under the name uncultured bacterium. Its description in RNAcentral is "partial 16S ribosomal RNA". It matches the Rfam family "Bacterial small subunit ribosomal RNA", at positions 338 to 795 of the family's 1533-position model. The record is from RNAcentral.
CCUACGGGAGGCAGCAGUGAGGAAUAUUGGUCAAUGGACGAGAGUCUGAACCAGCCAAGUAGCGUGAAGGAUGACUGCCCUAUGGGUUGUAAACUUCUUUUAUAAAGGAAUAAAACGAGGCACGUGUGCCUUUUUGCAUGUACUUUAUGAAUAAGGAUCGGCUAACUCCGUGCCAGCAGCCGCGGUAAUACGGAGGAUCCGAGCGUUAUCCGGAUUGAUUGGGUUUAAAGGGACCGUAGAUGGGUUGUUAAGUCAGUUGUGAAAGUUUGCGGCUCAACCGUAAAAUGGCAAUUGAUACUGGCAGUCUUGAGUACAGUUGAGGUAGGCGGAAUUCGUGGUGUAGCGGUGAAAUGCUUAGAUAUCACGAAGAACCCCGAUUGCGAAGGCAGCUUACUAAACUGUGACUGACAUUGAUGCUCGAAAGUGUGGGUAUCAAACAGGAUUAGAUACCCGUGUAGUC